CCUACGGGUGACAGCAGUGAGGAAUAUUGGUCAAUGGACGAGAGUCUGAACCAGCCAAGUAGCGUGAAGGAUGACUGCCCUAUGGGUUGUAAACUUCUUUUAUAAAGGAAUAAAACGAGGCACGUGUGCCUUUUUGCAUGUACUUUAUGAAUAAGGAUCGGCUAACUCCGGGCCAGCAGCCGCGGUAAUACGGAGGAUGCGAGCGUUAUCCGGAUUUAUUGGGUUUAAAGGGAGCGUAGAUGGGUUGUUAAGUCAGUUGUGAAAGUUUGCGGCUCAACCGUAAAAUUGCAAUUGAUACUGGCAGUCUUGAGUACAGUUGAGGUAAGCGGAAUUCGUGGUGUAGCGGUGAAAUGCUUAGAGAUCACGAAGAACCCCGAUUGCGAAGGCAGCUUACUAAACUGUGACUGACAUUGAUGCGCGAAAGUGUGGGGAUCAAACAGGAUUAGAUACCCCGGUAGUC
Molecule: ribosomal RNA, 460 nt
Filed under: uncultured bacterium
Lineage: Bacteria
Description: partial 16S ribosomal RNA
Rfam family: Bacterial small subunit ribosomal RNA
Source: RNAcentral